AACUUUUUACCUUAAGAGGGAUAAUGAACUUCCACACCCGAGAAUACCACACCUUAUGGGGUCCCUGUUGAUGCUAAUUUUGUAGAGCUUCUAUUGCCUGCUUUACCAAGAAGAUCCCGUGUGUAUUCAACUCCCAUAUAAGCUGGUCUUUUCUGUCUCUAUCUAAGAACACAUUUUCUAGGAUAAGCUUUAGCUCCCUGAAGGAAUAUUUAAUUUUUCUCCCAUUCGAAUAGUUGCCUUGCAAAUUCAAGGCUCCAUUCACUUCCCUCCCUCCACACUUCUGCCACCUUGAUGUUUUUGUUCGUGGACAACUGAAACAUCCUUGGAAACAGGUCUUUUAGAAGCAUACCCGAGACCUAUUUGUCUUUCCAAAACGAAAAUUUCCCAACCCCCUCAAUCUCUAAAAGGCAUACAAUGUUUCUCCAUGCACUUAACAUUUUUCUUUUGUGGUGAUUUGAGGGGGUACAAAGCGAAGCACCCUCACCAUAAUAAUUUCUCACACAAGAGUCGUCUCCACAAGGCAUCUUGAUUGCAUUCAUACCUCAAGCACCACCAUUUACCAAGUUUGAAAUCCCAAAUCCACCUUUAAAUUUGGAUUGGCACACUAAAUUCAAUUUCACCUAUAUCAUUUUUCUUUUAUCUUUGAUUCUUCUGAUAUUUGGACAUUGUUAAUAUUUUUUAAUUUUUUAUAUUAUAAUUUUAAUUAUAUUUAAUAUUAUUAUUAUUUAAAAA
Molecule: long non-coding RNA, 732 nt
Filed under: Theobroma cacao (cacao)
Lineage: Eukaryota; Viridiplantae; Streptophyta; Magnoliopsida; Malvales; Malvaceae
Description: long non-coding RNA (TCAC_LNC005777)
Source: RNAcentral